Molecule: long non-coding RNA, 1541 nt
Organism: Equus asinus (donkey)
Lineage: Eukaryota; Metazoa; Chordata; Mammalia; Perissodactyla; Equidae
Source: Ensembl
GAGCGUUCGCAAGGGGGUGGGGUCGGCCGCGCCCGGGCUCCAGCUGAUUGGGCCUGGGGAAAGUCACUCAGAGGAGUCAACUAAUUUUAUACAUUCCUCGCUGAGCGAGACUGGGGCUGGAAGUGGGUGUUGAUAGGAAAAAAAUGCUGCCUUUCUGCUAUCUCUAAGGAAAAGGAGAUAAUAGGAUGGGGGGAAACCUUGCGGGUCGUGUUGUCAACUUCUCUUGGCAUAUUUACUGUGUCCCAGAUCAGAAACGAAACAAACCCACCCGGGCCCCCUUUUUAAGGAAAAACAAUUGCCUCUGUGUCGCGGACAAGUGCGGGUCUGCCGGCGCGUGGAGCGAAAAAUGGCUAGCUUGAAGACACACGAAUAAAGGAAAACGCCAGCUCGCUCUUCUACCCUUUUAUCUUGGGACUGCUGAGUGUUCCCUUAGAGGAGGAAUUUAGAACUUCAAAAGCACUUGGAAAGAUUUGGAAGAGAAUCCCAAAAACGGCGACUCAGCAAUGAAUUGUUAACUGGUGGCAUUAUCAACCAUGUGGCUGCUUUUGCUUUUAGCGAUGAAAAUCACACCGAGUUUCCAGGCAAAUAAAAUUGGACCUCUGAAGUAAGAAAAUUUACUAUUUACCUUUCUAAAGACCUGAAGUCUGCUGUUUUCAUGCACAACUGAAAAGGGGGGGAAUCUCACAAUUGAGUUCAACGAGCCACAUGAGAAUAAUUACUGUUGAACAGAACCAAUUGCAGAGGCUGAGCUAUCAAUUAAGAAUUAACUAACAUUUAAGCUUGACAGAUAUCAUGCUGUAUAAUCCCCUUGGCUAACAGAGCAGAAUGAUUCUCAGGAGAUGGUCCUUUUAGUAAGCCUAGGAUCUGAUCUAAGGCAGGACUGAAUGGUUGAAAAGUGGCUCUAUUCUUAUGAGAUGUAGGUAGCCUAUGAUCCAUCAUCUUCUGGAAGGACAAUGAAUUCAUUAUUGGCUCUUUGAUGGUUUUUAUUGUCUGGUUUUUGUUGUUGUUUUUGAGGAAGAUUAGCCCUGAGCUAACAUCUGCCAUCAAUCCUCCUCUUUUUUUGCUGAGGAAGAUUAGCCCUUGGCUAACAUCUGUGCCCAUCUUCCUCUGUUUUGUAUGUGAGAUGCCUGCCACAGCAUGGCUUGAUAAGCAGUGCAUAGGUCCACGCCCAGCAUCUGAACUGGCAAACCGGGAACCACCAAAGCAGAAGGCAGUGAACCUAACCACUACGCCACCUGGCCCACCCCUAUUUGUCUGUUUUUUGAUUGAUGACAACAUGUCAUAACAUUUUACCCUUCUGCCCAAAACUGUCGAAGGAUGCAUAGAGCCCAACACUGUGUCUCAUUUAAUCCUCACAACCAUCCUGUAAAGCGAGUGUCAUUAGCCCCAUUUAACAUAAGGAAUCCAAGGCUCGGCAAGAUUGUCUCUCAGUCUUUCUAUGGACCGCGACCAGAUGAGUUUUUUAAAACACUGUUUGAUAUUGCCGUCAACAUCUUCUCCUCUAAAUUGCUCCCCGCCCCCCACUUUCCCUGCAAUUCUUA